RNAcentral lists this ribosomal RNA (497 nucleotides) under uncultured bacterium. Its description in RNAcentral is "partial 16S ribosomal RNA". It matches the Rfam family "Bacterial small subunit ribosomal RNA", at positions 28 to 507 of the family's 1533-position model. The record is from RNAcentral.
GACGAACGCUGGCGGCGUGCCUAAUACAUGCAAGUUGAGCGAUGAAGAUUGGUGCUUGCCCCAAUUUGAAGAGCAGCGAACGGGUGAGUAACGCGUGGGGAAUCUGCCUUUGAGCGGGGGACAACAUUUGGAAACGAAUGCUAAUACCGCAUAACAACUUUAAACAUAAGUUUUAAGUUUGAAAGAUGCAAUUGCAUCACUCAAAGAUGAUCCCGCGUUGUAUUAGCUAGUUGGUGAGGUAAAGGCUCACCAAGGCGAUGAUACAUAGCCGACCUGAGAGGGUGAUCGGCCACAUUGGGACUGAGACACGGCCCAAACUCCUACGGGAGGCAGCAGUAGGGAAUCUUCGGCAAGGGACGAAAGUCUGACCGAGCAACGCCGCGGGAGUGAAGAAGGGUUUCGGAUCGUAAAACUCUGUUGGUAGAGAAGAACGUUGGUGAGAGUGGAAAGCUCAUCAAGUGACGGUAACUACCCAGAAAGGGACGGCUAACUACGUG